CAGUCGCCACGGUAAUACGAGGGGGGCAAGCGUUGUUCGGAAUUAUUGGGCGUAAAGGGCGCGUAAGCGGUUUGUACAGUUGGGUGUGAAAUUCCUGGGCUUAACCUGGGGGCUGCACCCAAUACGUGCAUGCUUGAGUGUGGAAGAGGGUCGUGGAAUUCCCAGUGUAGAGGUGAAAUUCGUAGAUAUUGGAAAGAACACCGGUGGCGAAGGCGGCGACCUGGUCUUUAACUGACGCUGAGGCGCGAAAGCGUGGGGAGCAAACAGGAUUAGAGACCCCGGUAGUCCCUGUCUCUUAUAC
RNAcentral lists this ribosomal RNA (301 nucleotides) under uncultured bacterium. Its description in RNAcentral is "partial 16S ribosomal RNA". It matches the Rfam family "Bacterial small subunit ribosomal RNA", at positions 509 to 807 of the family's 1533-position model. The record is from RNAcentral.